AUCCUUCUGGUUCUUAAACAUGAUGACUGGGUUGUCACACGGCUGUGUGAUAUGUGCACCCUCCUGUUACGACUUUGCACAUUACCCAUCUGACU
Molecule: small nucleolar RNA, 95 nt
Filed under: Leptobrachium leishanense (Leishan spiny toad)
Lineage: Eukaryota; Metazoa; Chordata; Amphibia; Anura; Megophryidae
Description: Small nucleolar RNA U13 (ENSLLEG00000018037.1)
Rfam family: Small nucleolar RNA U13
Source: Rfam by way of RNAcentral